Molecule: transfer RNA, 75 nt
Filed under: Zygosaccharomyces parabailii
Lineage: Eukaryota; Fungi; Ascomycota; Saccharomycetes; Saccharomycetales; Saccharomycetaceae
Description: tRNA-Phe
Rfam family: tRNA
About the family: Transfer RNA (tRNA) molecules are approximately 80 nucleotides in length.
Source: RNAcentral
GCGGAUUUAGCUCAGUAGGGAGAGCGCCAGACUGAAGAGAUCUGGAGGUCCUGUGUUCGAUCCACAGAAUUCGCA